This 421-nucleotide ribosomal RNA is filed under the name uncultured bacterium. RNAcentral's name for it is "bacterial SSU rRNA". It matches the Rfam family "Bacterial small subunit ribosomal RNA", at positions 355 to 774 of the family's 1533-position model. The record is from RNAcentral.
UAAGGAAUAUUGGUCAAUGGACGCAAGUCCGAACCAGCCAUGCCGCGUGAAGGAUGAAGGUCCUCUGGAUUGUAAACUUCUUAUAUCUGGGACGAAAACGGGAUUUUUAUCUCAAUUGACGGUACCAGAGGAAUAAGCACCGGCUAACUCCGUGCCAGCAGCCGCGGUAAUACGGAGGGUGCGAGCGUUAUCCGGAUUUACUGGGUUUAAAGGGUGCGUAGGUGGGCUUAUAAGUCAGUGGUGAAAUCUCCGAGCUUAACUUGGAAACUGCCCUUGAUACUAUAGGUCUUGAAUUAUCUGGAGGUAAGCGGAAUAUGUCAUGUAGCUGUGAAAUGCUUAGAUAUGACAUAGAACACCAAUUGCGAAGGCAGCUUACUACAUAUAAAUUGACGCUGAUGCACGAAAGCGUGGUGAUCAAACA